UGCGGGAUCGUCUAAUUAGGUAGGACACAUGCCUCUGGAGCAUGGUAUCUUGGUUCGAGUCCAAGUCCCGCAGCCA
This 76-nucleotide transfer RNA is filed under the name bacterium. RNAcentral describes it as "tRNA-Gln". It matches the Rfam family "tRNA". Rfam says of the family: Transfer RNA (tRNA) molecules are approximately 80 nucleotides in length. Their secondary structure includes four short double-helical elements and three loops (D, anti-codon, and T loops). The record is from RNAcentral.